This 301-nucleotide ribosomal RNA is filed under the name uncultured bacterium. Its description in RNAcentral is "partial 16S ribosomal RNA". It matches the Rfam family "Bacterial small subunit ribosomal RNA", at positions 509 to 808 of the family's 1533-position model. The record is from RNAcentral.
CAGUCGCCGCGGUAAUACGUAGGUCCCGAGCGUUGUCCGGAUUUAUUGGGCGUAAAGCGAGCGCAGGCGGUUAGAUAAGUCUGAAGUUAAAGGCUGUGGCUUAACCAUAGUACGCUUUGGAAACUGUUUAACUUGAAUGCAGGAGGGGAGAGUGGAAUUCCAUGUGUAGCGGUGAAAUGCGUAGAUAUAUGGAGGUACACCGGUGGCGAAAGCGGCUCUCUGGUCUGUAACUGACGCUGAGGCUCGAAAGCGUGGGGAGCAAACAGGAUUAGAUACCCCGGUAGUCCCUGUCUCUUAUACC